This 467-nucleotide ribosomal RNA is filed under the name uncultured bacterium. Its description in RNAcentral is "partial 16S ribosomal RNA". It matches the Rfam family "Bacterial small subunit ribosomal RNA", at positions 28 to 506 of the family's 1533-position model. The record is from RNAcentral.
GACGAACGCUGGCGGCGUGCUUAACACAUGCAAGUCGAACGGAAAGGCCCUGCUUUUGUGGGUUGCUCGAUUGGCGAACGGGUGAGUAACACGUGAGUAACCUGCCCUUGUCUUUGGGAUAACUUCAGGAAACUGGGGCUAAUACCGGAUAGGAGCUCCUGCUGCAUGGUGGGGGUUGGAAAGUUUCGGCGGUUGUGGAUGGUCUCGCGGCUUAUCAGCUUGUUGGUGGGGUAGUGGCUUACAAAGGCUUGGACGGGUAGCCGGCCUGAGAGGGAGACCGGCUCCAUUGUCCUUGGGGAGCGACCCGGACUCAUUCGGGCGGCAGCGGCGGAAACCUUUCGACACUGGGCGGAGGCCUGAAGGAGGAACGCCGCAUCCGGAAUGACGGCCUUCGGGUAGUAACCAGCUUUCGACUGUCACGACGCGUGUGUACGGGUACUGGGUAAAGAGCCACCGGCAACCUCCUU